ACGUGAAUUAUCACGCCAAGUAGAAGCUUUAGAAAAACAUUGUCGAACAUUUCAACUGAACUUUUAAUUUUCUAUCAUAAUCUUGAUGUGUUUUUAUAGUAUACAAUGUAAUCAAAUAUUUUACUUAUAACAAAGUUUAUUAUAUUACUAAUAUGAAAUAGUUUUGGUACCUCAUUUCUCCCAAAGGCUGAAUUCUAAGAACUACUCCCGCCAAACUGCAGAUCUAGUUGGAUGGAAAUAAUGAGAAAAUCUAUCAUGCAAUUUUUACUAAGUAUUAGUAGUAACGGCAAAGAAAAGUCGAAAACCAGCAUUCAGAUUGAAGAAAAGUUAUUGGUCGUCAAAUUCUUUGAAGAAGUCCAACCAAAUAACUGUGACGCAAAUCUAAAAAUAUUGGAAUAAUCCGGCAUUGAAAAGUUAUAUCAACGAUGGAACAAUGAAUCAUUCUUUCUUUUGUAUUUUUCGAAGCCAACUGUGCAACAUCACACUACUUCUACUGCGAUUUUUGUCAACUUUUGAUCAAAAAGUGUCUUGUGACACAAUUCAAAGGAUGUCAAAGCUGUCGUCAGCGAGCUUUUUAUUCAGGACAUAGCUCAAAAUGCGUGUUUAGGGAAAUGGACACAAUUCAAAAUGUGUGUUUAAGAUAAUGCACUUAAUUUUGUUUUUCACAUUUUUGAAUUGAAAUCUUUCCCUUUUCUAAAAAAAUAAACUAACUGAUCUAAAUAAAAUCGCAAUGUGAUGCCUACUCUACUUAGUACCUACAGUUUUCCAAAAUUUAAAUUUUUAAAUUAAAAUUUUCAUUGUUUUUAAAGAUAAUAAAAGCCUCGUAAAAGAACUGAAAAGAUUUAAGUCCUUUUUACAAUACGUUUAUAAUACAUUGACGAAUUUAGAAUUUUAAAAUCGCUUAGAAACUGAAAAGAUGGCUGAAAAGUUACGCUUAUAAUGAGCCCGAAGUCAGUAGUGAUAUUGCUUUCUCGUUUAUUUUGGGUAGGUUGAACAUAGUAAAGGUCAUUUUCUUGGAUACGCAUAGUGUCCAGUCUGUUAAAUUCAUGUCCAAAUCGACGAUUUAUAGUUUGAUCAGUAUGAUAUAAUAAUGCAUAGAUUGCUUCAGUUUUAUUCAGUUUUUUCUUAGAAUGAAUUCCUGCACUUUAAAGCUCCUCUAUUUUAUGUUACAACUAAAAUUUGGAUUCUCUAAAAAUCCUAUUUUUUACCGGUCCUAUAAGGCUUUAUGACUUGAGGAUUAUUUAAUUUAAAAAGUUGAAGAGCUUAUUGGAUGAGUAGCUAUAAUCAGGUUAAGAAAAAUAAAGUGGUAUCCAAAUAAUUUCAUUAUAAAUUUAGAUGAGUUAAUUCUUUGCCUUAUUUUAUUUACCAAAUUCAAAAUGAAAAUCAUGCAAGCAUACUCAAAAUUAAUAAGAAUGCGAUGUAGUUAAAUUAUAAUAAAUGUAGUUAAAUUCUGUUAAAUUAAACACAUCCAUAGUUAUGCAACAACUUUAUCUUAAUUUCCCUGAUUAAUCCCUUAAAAUGUCACUUAUAUCCCUUAGGAUCUUUAAUCAUUGCACAAAAAAAGAAAAAAAAACAAGUUCUCGAGAAAUAUUUAAGUUCAGAAAAUAAUUUUCAUACAAUCUUCUUCGCAAUACCCGGUAGCAGAAACAAAGUUUUAAAGUUAGUGUUUUUUGUAAAUGGUUUGUAAAACUGUGAAUCUUCUUUGGUGGGCAUAAAUGAUAUUUUAAAUUUCAUUCAAGAUAUUAUGUAUAUAGUUUUAACUGUAAUGAGAAAUUCUGGGUAUUCCGCAUUUACCAUCCAUAACGUGCAUUUUAAGAAUCCUUCACAAAAAGGAAAAGCAUGCUGGGAUGUAAAAUAAUAUUUAAGCAUUAAAAAAACUAAAACGUUAUCAAAACAUGUAUAUCUUUUGUAUUACUUUUUGAUAAGGAUUCUAAAAAUAAAGGAGUAUCUAAGGAUA
Molecule: long non-coding RNA, 1957 nt
Organism: Parasteatoda tepidariorum (common house spider)
Lineage: Eukaryota; Metazoa; Arthropoda; Arachnida; Araneae; Theridiidae
Source: RefSeq, a predicted model, not a curated record